Molecule: small RNA, 27 nt
Filed under: Bombyx mori (domestic silkworm)
Lineage: Eukaryota; Metazoa; Arthropoda; Insecta; Lepidoptera; Bombycidae
Description: piRNA piR-bmo-1316719
Source: RNAcentral
UGAUAGUGACAGUGAUUUUGAAGUGCU